RNAcentral lists this transfer RNA (70 nucleotides) under Camelus bactrianus (Bactrian camel). It matches the Rfam family "tRNA". Rfam says of the family: Transfer RNA (tRNA) molecules are approximately 80 nucleotides in length. Their secondary structure includes four short double-helical elements and three loops (D, anti-codon, and T loops). RNAcentral also lists the same sequence under 2 other names. The record is from Rfam by way of RNAcentral. Lineage: Eukaryota; Metazoa; Chordata; Mammalia; Artiodactyla; Camelidae.
GGAUAUAGCUCAGUAGUAGAGUACGUGCCUUGUAUGCACAAAGUCCUGAGUUCAAGUCCCAGUACCUCCA